This 785-nucleotide ribosomal RNA is filed under the name Ectopseudomonas oleovorans. RNAcentral describes it as "bacterial SSU rRNA". It matches the Rfam family "Bacterial small subunit ribosomal RNA", at positions 62 to 842 of the family's 1533-position model. The record is from RNAcentral. Lineage: Bacteria; Pseudomonadati; Pseudomonadota; Gammaproteobacteria; Pseudomonadales; Pseudomonadaceae.
UCGAGCGGAUGAAGGGAGCUUGCUCCUGGAUUCAGCGGCGGACGGGUGAGUAAUGCCUAGGAAUCUGCCUGGUAGUGGGGGAUAACGUUCCGAAAGGAACGCUAAUACCGCGUACGUCCUACGGGAGAAAGCAGGGGACCUUCGGGCCUUGCGCUAUCAGAUGAGCCUAGGUCGGAUUAGCUAGUUGGUGAGGUAAUGGCUCACCAAGGCGACGAUCCGUAACUGGUCUGAGAGGAUGAUCAGUCACACUGGAACUGAGACACGGUCCAGACUCCUACGGGAGGCAGCAGUGGGGAAUAUUGGACAAUGGGCGAAAGCCUGAUCCAGCCAUGCCGCGUGUGUGAAGAAGGUCUUCGGAUUGUAAAGCACUUUAAGUUGGGAGGAAGGGCUGUAGGCUAAUAUCCUGCGGUUUUGACGUUACCAACAGAAUAAGCACCGGCUAACUUCGUGCCAGCAGCCGCGGUAAUACGAAGGGUGCAAGCGUUAAUCGGAAUUACUGGGCGUAAAGCGCGCGUAGGUGGUUCGUUAAGUUGGAUGUGAAAGCCCCGGGCUCAACCUGGGAACUGCAUCCAAAACUGGCGAGCUAGAGUACGGUAGAGGGUAGUGGAAUUUCCUGUGUAGCGGUGAAAUGCGUAGAUAUAGGAAGGAACACCAGUGGCGAAGGCGACUACCUGGACUGAUACUGACACUGAGGUGCGAAAGCGUGGGGAGCAAACAGGAUUAGAUACCCUGGUAGUCCACGCCGUAAACGAUGUCAACUAGCCGUUGGAAUCCUUGAGAUUUUA